UACGGAGGGUGCAAGCGUUAUCCGGAUUCAUUGGGCGUAAAGAGCGUGUAGGCGGCCGGGUAAGUCCGGUGUGAAAACUCGAGGCUUAACCUCGAGAUGUCAUCGGAAACUAUUCGGCUAGAGUCCGGAAGAGGAGAGUGGAAUUCCUGGUGUAGCGGUGAAAUGCGCAGAUAUCAGGAAGAACACCCAUGGCGAAAGCAGCUCUCUGGGACGGUACUGACGCUGAGACGCGAAAGCGUGGGGAGCGAACAGG
RNAcentral lists this ribosomal RNA (253 nucleotides) under uncultured bacterium. Its description in RNAcentral is "partial 16S ribosomal RNA". It matches the Rfam family "Bacterial small subunit ribosomal RNA", at positions 524 to 776 of the family's 1533-position model. The record is from RNAcentral.